Molecule: ribosomal RNA, 432 nt
Filed under: uncultured soil bacterium
Lineage: Bacteria
Description: bacterial SSU rRNA
Rfam family: Bacterial small subunit ribosomal RNA
Source: RNAcentral
AACACAUGCAAGUCGAACGGGCGUAGCAAUAUGUCAGCGGCAGACGGGUGAGUAACGCGUGGGAACGUACCUUUUGGUUCGGAACAACACAGGGAAACUUGUGCUAAUACCGGAUAAGCCCUUACGGGGAAAGAUUUAUCGCCGAAAGAUCGGCCCGCGUCUGAUUAGCUAGUUGGUGAGGUAACGGCUCACCAAGGCGACGAUCAGUAGCUGGUCUGAGAGGAUGAUCAGCCACAUUGGGACUGAGACACGGCCCAAACUCCUACGGGAGGCAGCAGUGGGGAAUAUUGGACAAUGGGCGCAAGCCUGAUCCAGCCAUGCCGCGUGAGUGAUGAAGGCCCUAGGGUUGUAAAGCUCUUUUGUGCGGGAAGAUAAUGACGGUACCGCAAGAAUAAGCCCCGGCUAACUUCGUGCCAGCCGCCGCGGUAAUAC